This 468-nucleotide ribosomal RNA is filed under the name uncultured bacterium. RNAcentral describes it as "partial 16S ribosomal RNA". It matches the Rfam family "Bacterial small subunit ribosomal RNA", at positions 28 to 507 of the family's 1533-position model. The record is from RNAcentral.
GACGAACGCUGGCGGCGUGCUUAACACAUGCAAGUCGAACGGAAAGGCCCUGCUUUUGUGGGGUGCUCGAGUGGCGAACGGGGGAGUAACACGUGAGUAACCUGCCCUUGACUUUGGGAUAACUUUAGGAAACUGGGGCUAAUACCGGAUAGGAGCUCCUGCUGCCUGGUGGGGGGUGGGAAGUUUCGGCGGUUGGGGAUGGACUCGCGGCUUAUCAGCUUGUUGGUGGGGUAGUGGCUUACCAAGGCUUUGACGGGUAGCCGGCCUGAGAGGGUGACCGGCCACAUUGGGACUGAGAUACGGCCCAGACUCCUACGGGAGGCAGCAGUGGGGAAUAUUGCACAAUGGGCGGAAGCCUGAUGCAGCAACGCCGCGUGCGGGAUGACGGCCUUCGGGUUGUAAACCGCUUUCGCCUGUGACGAAGCGUGAGUGACGGUAAUGGGUAAAGAAGCACCGGCUAACUACGUG